Long non-coding RNA from Manis javanica (Malayan pangolin), 1039 nucleotides. RefSeq lists it as uncharacterized. Lineage: Eukaryota; Metazoa; Chordata; Mammalia; Pholidota; Manidae. The record is from RefSeq and is a predicted model, not a curated record.
UCAUCAGAAGCAGCCCACCGGCUGGAGUCCCUCACAGGGUGGAGGGAGGCACAGUUGGCGGCAGAACAGUCCCUGUGAGUCUGAACUUCAGCCCGAGUAGGGCAGCAGCCAGCCUUCCAACCCCGUGCAGACAGUCGGAAACGGCCAGGCUACCAGGUGCCCAGUGCUCAGAGUCGGGGAGGCAGGGAGCAACUGCCAGCUGCCAGCCACCACCACAGGCUGCUGGUUCCAAAGUACAAGGUCCCCACAGCCCCAGACACUGUGAAGCUGCUCCAAGAGCCACGGGAAGAGACACCCAGAGCCAAGCCAUCAGCAGAAAACCGGAGUAGGAAGGCCGAGGAGGUGAGGCUGGGAGCGGCUGAGGAGGCUGCAGGGCCUCCCCCCGGCCCAGCUCCACGGCCUUUCACGGCUGCCUCUGGAACACAGGUCAGCGCUGAGAAAGCGAUGACUCAGGACUGUACAGCGGCUUCUUCUCAGCAAAAAUGAGGCCCAACUUCUCCCCAUCAAACUGCUCCGAGACCACCGCAAGCUGACGAGCACAGAUCCACACAGCUGGGGAAGCGGCCAGGCCAGACCCGAGGGGGCCCAGGAUGCACAGGACGGAGAGAGAGAAAGAAGGAGGAGGGAGAGGCAGCCUCUGACCUGCAGCGGCGGAGUCGAAGCCGGCAGGACCACGAGCCCUGAGCCGGGCCCAGCGCCCCCACCGUCCUGCCAGCAAACCCGGUUACUGGCCAACACCUCAAGCUGCAGCCAACAGACCUAAGUCCAUUUUUUUGCAGGAUUCCACUGAGAUGACACCCAGGAAAAUGCAAGACUUUAGGGCCAAGUAUCAUAUCAACGGGCUGCGAGGACCAGGAGUGGCCACAGAGCACAGGGAGCCUCCGGGGCAGUGGAGGAACUCUACACCUUCACCCGGUCGCGAUUCCACGACCACUUCAGAGCUGGACACCUACAAAGGGUGAAGUUUCCUGUAGUUCAUGUAGACCUCAAUAAAUGCGACUUAGAAAUAAGCCACAGGAUGGGGAAGUGGAGGGAAAGU